UACGAAGGGGGCUAGCGUUGCUCGGAAUGACUGGGCGUAAAGGGCGCGUAGGCGGCUUGUUUAGUCGGAUGUGAAAUUCCUGGGCUUAACCUGGGGGCUGCAUACGAGACGUAUGGGCUUGAGUGCGGAAGAGGGUCGUGGAAUUCCCAGUGUAGAGGUGAAAUUCGUAGAUAUUGGGAAGAACACCGGUGGCGAAGGCGGCGACCUGGUCCGUGACUGACGCUGAGGCGCGAAAGCCAGGGGAGCAAACGGG
RNAcentral lists this ribosomal RNA (253 nucleotides) under uncultured bacterium. Its description in RNAcentral is "partial 16S ribosomal RNA". It matches the Rfam family "Bacterial small subunit ribosomal RNA", at positions 524 to 776 of the family's 1533-position model. The record is from RNAcentral.